Molecule: long non-coding RNA, 1199 nt
Organism: Vicia villosa (hairy vetch)
Lineage: Eukaryota; Viridiplantae; Streptophyta; Magnoliopsida; Fabales; Fabaceae
Exons: 2
Source: RefSeq, a predicted model, not a curated record
UCUUCCUUCUUCUCUCACGAGCGGGGCGAAACGGCGGCGAUGGCGACGGCGACGGCUUCAACUUCUCCGGUCGAAAACAAACUCAAACGCGAUUGAACCCUCUCUCUUCUCGUUUCAUCCGCUUCAUACUCUUUUAUCUCGCUGAUUGCUGAUUCAAUUGAAUUGCGUUCCAAUUUUGACACAAGCGUCUUCUCACGAAAUCAGACGUGAAGAAAGAACCGAUGUAGACAGAGUUCAAAGCUUUUUCUUUUUGAUCGAAACGCUCCAACAGCCAUUCAAAGAUGCCGGUGCCGAGAAGUUAAGGUAAGCAUACGCGUUAAUCUCUUGCUUCCUCCAAUCGAUUCGUACUUCUUCUUCUUUUAGAAUUCUGAAUGACUUGUUACUGUUAUUGUUUCGGUUGUGUUGAAUUGGUGAGGAUGAGGGCGAAGAUGCGAUGAAGAUUGAAGUGUUGAUGAUGAAGAUGAUGAUGAUUGAAGAAAGGAUGAGGAUGUUGCUUUUGUUGCAGGUUUAUUGAAGAUGGUGAUUCAGCAUUACGAGAGGUGUUGCAAAGAUGAUGAUGUGUAUCGAGAUGAAGAAGAUGGAGGAGCUGUGAAGAAUGGUGGAGAGUGAGUGAUGAAUGAAGAAUGGCUCAGAGAUCAAAAAAUGGUGGAGGAGCUUGAAUGAAGGUGGAGAGAAGAAUAUAUAGGUCGAGUUCUGAGAUUCAGUUGCAAUUGAAGGGGUGCUUCUGGUUUGAUAGGUUUGACGGGUAAUGGGAUAAAUGGAACGCACUCGGCCGGAAGACUGGGACAGGCUGCUGAGUAACGGCUAUCGUACUUUGCAUCAGUCCUACAGCUUGAGUUGUAAUUGGGGUUUGACCUGCUGUGGACCAGAUACCCUCUUGAGAAGAUUGGGAGAUUGGAACAGGCAGCACUGUAAUAUUGCCGUUAUACUUGGCGGUUGUCCCAGCAGAAGCAAAAGGAUGAAGACGGUUAUCACUAUCAGCACCUGGUCGGAAAACUGGGCGUAAUAACCAACUGGAUCCAACUGUGGGUGGACAAUAAAGCUUGGAAGCCAAGAAAUAUCACGUGCUUGAAGCUAAGAAUUGUCAAACAGAGUGGUUCAGUAUUAUAUUUACUUUGUAAUGGAGGAAUUUGAAUGUAAUGAAAUUGUAAUGGUGUAAUUGGAUUUAGAUCUUGCAAUGGAAUUGUAUUUUUGAUGAA